RNAcentral lists this transfer RNA (73 nucleotides) under Holdemania filiformis. It matches the Rfam family "tRNA". From Rfam's summary of the family: Transfer RNA (tRNA) molecules are approximately 80 nucleotides in length. Their secondary structure includes four short double-helical elements and three loops (D, anti-codon, and T loops). Lineage: Bacteria; Bacillati; Bacillota; Erysipelotrichia; Erysipelotrichales; Erysipelotrichaceae. The record is from Rfam by way of RNAcentral.
GUCCCGGUAGCUCAGGCGGUAGAGCAACUGACUUUUAAUCAGUGGGUCGAAGGUUCGAUUCCUUUCCGGGACA